RNAcentral lists this ribosomal RNA (495 nucleotides) under uncultured bacterium. RNAcentral describes it as "partial 16S ribosomal RNA". It matches the Rfam family "Bacterial small subunit ribosomal RNA", at positions 28 to 507 of the family's 1533-position model. The record is from RNAcentral.
GACGAACGCUGGCGGCGUGCCUAAUACAUGCAAGUAGAACGCUGAAGGAGGAGCUUGCUUCUCCGGAUGAGUUGCGAACGGGUAAGUAACGCGUAGGUAACCUGCCUGGUAGCGGGGGAUAACUAUUGGAAACGAUAGCUAAUACCGCAUAACAGUAGAUGUUGCAUGACAUUUGCUUAAAAGGUGCAAUUGCAUCACUACCAGAUGGACCUGCGUUGUAUUAGCUAGUUGGUGAGGUAACGGCUCACCAAGGCGACGAUACAUAGCCGACCUGAGAGGGUGAUCGGCCACACUGGGACUGAGACACGGCCCAGACUCCUACGGGAGGCAGCAGUAGGGAAUCUUCGGCAAUGGACGGAAGUCUGACCGAGCAACGCCGCGUGAGUGAAGAAGGUUUUCGGAUCGUAAAGCUCUGUUGUAAGAGAAGAACGAGUGUGAGAGUGGAAAGUUCACACUGUGACGGUAUCUUACCAGAAAGGGACGGCUAACUACGUG